GCCGGAUCUGCCGGGACCGACACCGGAGGAGAAAAAUGGUAAAAAAUAACCCAAAAGAAACGCAAAUAAAUUAAAUUCCCAACGAGUCCCACGGACCCAGGCCAGAGGCGCCUGCCUACGGUACUUGAAAAAAAAAAAAAAAAAAAAGGGGAAAAAAAAAAAAAAAAAGGUCAAAAAAAAAAAAAAAACAAAAAAAAUUGAAGUACAAAAGAAAAUAAAAUACAGAUCCACGAUCACGAGUGUCUGGGAAGCAACAGCAAGGGUGGAGGAAGCAGAGUGGGAGGAGGUGGAUUUUGUUUUUUGUUCUUCAGAUUUCUUCCACGCUGCGAGCGAAAAUCAAAAACCCUAAAAAUGCCGAGUCUGGGAAACCCACCCCCACAAGCCAUCCCAAAGUGGAUUUUUAGAAAUUUUUUUUUCUUUCUUCAGAUUUCCUCCAGGCCGUGAGCGAAAAUCCCAAACCCUAAAAACGCCGAGUCAGGGAAAACCACCCCGCCGCCGUCCCGAGGCGGAUAUUUUCAAUUGAAACAUCUUUUUUUUCACCUUUUUUCAGAUCUCCUCCACGCCGUGAGCGAAGAUCAUGACGAGCCCCGGCUCCAGCACCAUGUCCUCGCCCAUGUGCUGGUUCUCGCAGGCCAUCACCACCACGGCCUGCUUGCCGGGGAUGCGUUUGGCCACGUAGUUCUCGUAGUAGCGCCGGUUCAUCUGGCGCGUCUCCAGCGUGGCCAGCCCCUGGGGCCAGUUGCGCUCGUGGGCGUUCUCGAUCAGCUCGUUGGUGAUGGACGCCGGGCAGCCGCUCUCCACCAGCGAGCGCUUGAUCACCGCCUGCAGCACGGCGUCCGGCGUGGAGAUCAUGCCGCCCCAGCGCGUCACCCGCG
Molecule: long non-coding RNA, 875 nt
Filed under: Lonchura striata (white-rumped munia)
Lineage: Eukaryota; Metazoa; Chordata; Aves; Passeriformes; Estrildidae
Description: domestica (Bengalese finch) lncRNA (ENSLSDG00000014845.1)
Source: RNAcentral